Helianthus annuus (common sunflower) is the source of this 448-nucleotide long non-coding RNA. RefSeq lists it as uncharacterized. The transcript is spliced from 3 exons. The record is from RefSeq and is a predicted model, not a curated record. NCBI's taxonomy places the organism in Eukaryota, Viridiplantae, Streptophyta, Magnoliopsida, Asterales, Asteraceae.
ACUAGUAACCCAACAUGUUUACAUCAAUGCAAUUAUUAUAACCCUCUAUAUAUUUAACUCAACCAUAACACACCAUUCAUCAUAUUGCAAAGUAAUGAAUGAGCCUAAAUAUCCUUAUGCUUAUCCUUACCCCGUUCAAGGCGGAGGAGGAUACUAUCAAGGGCCACCGGUGAUGGCACCUCCGCAAUACGUCGCCGCGCCUCCACCCAGAAGAGAACCUGGCUUCCUUGAAGGCUGUCUGGCUGCUCUGUGUUGCUGCUGCCUUCUUGACGAAUGUUGUUGUGAUCCAACCAUAAUUUUCUAUUAAAGUAUCAUCCAUAUUAAUAGAAACUUGUAUGUUCUUCUUGUUUUAGAUUUUAAUUUUAAUUACAUGUAUUUAUUUUAUAAUUAAUAGAAACUUGUAUGUUCUUCUUGUUUUAGAUUUUAAUUACAUGUAUUUAUUUUAAAA